RNAcentral lists this ribosomal RNA (465 nucleotides) under Vreelandella stevensii. RNAcentral's name for it is "partial 16S ribosomal RNA". It matches the Rfam family "Bacterial small subunit ribosomal RNA", at positions 338 to 795 of the family's 1533-position model. Lineage: Bacteria; Pseudomonadati; Pseudomonadota; Gammaproteobacteria; Oceanospirillales; Halomonadaceae. The record is from RNAcentral.
CCUACGGGUGGCAGCAGUGGGGAAUAUUGGACAAUGGGCGAAAGCCUGAUCCAGCCAUGCCGCGUGUGUGAAGAAGGCCUUCGGGUUGUAAAGCACUUUAAGUGGGGAAGAAAGCCUUGGGGCUAAUACCUUCGAGGAAGGACAUCACCCACAGAAGAAGCACCGGCUAACUCCGUGCCAGCAGCCGCGGUAAUACGGAGGGUGCGAGCGUUAAUCGGAAUUACUGGGCGUAAAGCGCGCGUAGGCGGUCUGAUAAGCCGGUUGUGAAAGCCCCGGGCUCAACCUGGGAACGGCAUCCGGAACUGUCAGGCUAGAGUGCAGGAGAGGAAGGUAGAAUUCCCGGUGUAGCGGUGAAAUGCGUAGAGAUCGGGAGGAAUACCAGUGGCGAAGGCGGCCUUCUGGACUGACACUGACGCUGAGGUGCGAAAGCGUGGGUAGCAAACAGGAUUAGCUACCCGUGUAGUC